RNAcentral lists this long non-coding RNA (228 nucleotides) under Homo sapiens (human). RNAcentral describes it as "LNC_000879". The record is from RNAcentral. Lineage: Eukaryota; Metazoa; Chordata; Mammalia; Primates; Hominidae.
AAAAAAAAAAAAAUCAAUCAGCAAUAGGGUAGUCAUAAUUUUAACAAUGAAAUCCAGUUGCUUUGAAUGCCUCAAAGAUUCUAGUUUAAGCCUGGCUUGCUAGGAGGCAUGCAUCCUGGUCCCCUCCUCCUAGGAACUCCUAGUUUGUGUGAGGUGAUACCCUCUCAUGAGUAAUGGUCAAUACGAUGCUGUUUGCAUGGUCCUUCCCUGUUUACAGAAACUCCCCAC